Molecule: ribosomal RNA, 872 nt
Filed under: uncultured bacterium
Lineage: Bacteria
Description: bacterial SSU rRNA
Rfam family: Bacterial small subunit ribosomal RNA
Source: RNAcentral
UGACUCCUAUAGGGCGAUUGAUUUAGCGGCCGGAUUCGCCCUUGUGCCAGCAGCCGCGGUAAUACGUAGGUGGCAAGCGUUGUCCGGAUUUAUUGGGCGUAAGGCGAGCGCAGGCGGAAGAAUAAGUCUGAUGUGAAAGCCCUCGGUUUAACCGAGGAACUGCAUCGGAAACUGUUUUUCUUGAGUGCAGAAGAGGAGAGUGGAACUCCAUGUGUAGCGGUGGAAUGCGUAGAUAUAUGGAAGAACACCAGUGGCGAAGGCGGCUCUCUGGUCUGCAACUGACGCUGAGGCUCGAAAGCAUGGGUAGUGAACAGGAUUAGAUACCCUGGUAGUCCAUGCCGUAAACGAUGAGUGCUAAGUGUUGGGAGGUUUCCGCCUCUCAGUGCUGCAGCUAACGCAUUAAGCACUCCGCCUGGGGAGUACGACCGCAAGGUUGAAACUCAAAGGAAUUGACGGGGGCCCGCACAAGCGGUGGAGCAUGUGGUUUAAUUCGAAGCAACGCGAAGAACCUUACCAGGUCUUGACAUCUAGUGCCAUUUGUAGAGAUACAAAGUUCCCUUCGGGGACGCUAAGACAGGUGGUGCAUGGCUGUCGUCAGCUCGUGUCGUGAGAUGUUGGGUUAAGUCCCGCAACGAGCGCAACCCUUGUUAUUAGUUGCCAGCAUUAAGUUGGGCACUCUAAUGAGACUGCCGGUGACAAACCGGAGGAAGGUGGGGGAUGACGUCAAGUCAUCAUGCCCCUUAUGACCUGGGCUACACACGUGCUACAAUGGGGCAGUACAACGAGAAGCGAGCCUGCGAAGGCAAGCGAAUCUCUGAAAGCUGUUCUUCAGUUCGGGACUGCAGUCUGCAACUCGACUGCACGAAGCUGGG